This is a long non-coding RNA of Alnus glutinosa, 688 nucleotides long. RefSeq lists it as uncharacterized. The transcript has 2 exons. NCBI's taxonomy places the organism in Eukaryota, Viridiplantae, Streptophyta, Magnoliopsida, Fagales, Betulaceae. The record is from RefSeq and is a predicted model, not a curated record.
CCCAUUUCAUUUUUGUCGCCGACGCCGUCUCGCUCUGCCCUCUCGUCUCCUCUCUGCCCAUCUCGUCUCCGCCGCCGCUCGUCUCCGCUUCCGGUCGUCUCCGCCGCCACUACACUCUGCUAGCCUUGGUGUUGGGAAGGAAAAGAAGAAGGGAUGGUUCUGGGUUUGAGGCGAGAGAGAGAUCGGUUCACUGCGAGAGCGUCCAUGGGUAGUGUUAGAGCCGGCGUGAUGUUUGGAGGAGAUGGGUGGGUUAGAGAAGGGACUGAGUUGGCAAUGGUGGGUACAGUGUAAUCUAGGAAGUGGGUUUGGGAUAAGGAACCACAUCCAUAAUCCAUUAUCAUGGUUUUGUCCAUAUGUUGGUGUUUCUGCAAUUGGUUUGUUUUUUUGCCUUAGCCACGUAAUUUUUGUGGUAUUGAUUUCUGGCCACAAACAUGGCAUUAGCCGGGAGACUUCAGGUAAAGAAAGAAAGAAAGAGUCUAAUAUGAAGCCAUCCUCAUAAGUAUCCUCAUCAGUUUGUAAGACUUCUGUUGUAUAUUGACCGACACCAUCCACUUCCUCAAAGUGUUGUGCUGCUGUUAACAUAUUGACCGACUCCAUCCACAUCAGUUUGAAAGACUUCUGUUGCAUAUUGACCUCCCAGUUAGUUGGCUGCCUAGUAUGUUUUGGAAUUUAGAAUAUGUUUGGAUUA